GCCAGUGUAGUGUAGUGGUUUGAGCGCUGGACUAUGUCUCUGGAGACCAGGGUUUGAAUUCCUGCGUAGGCC
Non-coding RNA from Phrynosoma platyrhinos (Desert horned lizard), 72 nucleotides. NCBI's taxonomy places the organism in Eukaryota, Metazoa, Chordata, Lepidosauria, Squamata, Phrynosomatidae. The record is from the annotation of a GenBank genome assembly.